CACCUCCACUCUAUCUCUCUCAAUCUAGUAGAACUAGUUCUACUCUCACAUUGGAUGCUAAGCCCUAUGAGGUGGAACCCUAGAGGGACCUCUCUCUCUGAAUCCUCUCUGGAAAAUAUGCUAAUGAAUAAUGGGAUUUCUCUCCUCCAGGGGCUAGGGGGCCUGCUUAUAUAGUCCCCUCAAGUGAACGUGGGCCGUUGGAUCAAACCAACAUUGAUUGAAUGGUUCUCCUUGAUCCUUUAGGUCGGUGGAGCAUAAUCCGCGAGACGGGACCUGAUUGGUCUCUGUAGCAGGGCGGGCGCCCAAGGGGGGAGGGCGGGCGCCCUGCCCCCGGGCCCGCUUAGCCUUCCGUUCGUUCCCGUGGCUUCUAGAGUCUUCUAGAUGAUAGAAAAUUGUGCGGCACGUUAAUAUCUCUAUGUAAACCCGACAUGUGGGCCUUUCCUCCAUAUUUCCUGAUAACCACCCUGCAGAAAUAGACAAACACCAAAACUCGUGGAAUUUUGUGAGAUAAAACCCUAAGUCUGGGUGUUGGUUGCAUUUGGAUCCUUUUCUUUGUUUAUUUGAUGAUUAUAUUUGGUACUUAAGGACUGUCAACAACUCCCCCAAGCUUACCUCUUGCUCAUCCCUAAGCAAGGAUUGACUGAAGAGUUCCUACAGUGGUUUCAUGCCUUAAAAGUACACAUGCGUUCAAGAAAGAUCUCAUCUCUGAGUUGGAGUAAACUGUUAAGACUUAAAACUUACUCAUUUUACCUUUCACCAUGGGGCUUGCAACCGUCACUUGUGUCUUGAGCAGUGAAAAGAUAGAACAGUCUAGUCAAGCGCCAUGUCUCUUGUUCUUUGAUCAGCUAUAGCUCUGGAGUUUUUGCAGAUUUUCAAAUAAAACUCAGAGAUUCCUUGUAUGACUCUCUCAAAUCUCUCUUUUGUGGUAUUUCUGGGUCCUUUCCAAGACAAUAAUGGUAUAUGCCUUCUCUCAAAGUAUGUGGUAUUUUUGGUAUGAGGCAUAGUAAUAUUGCCUUCUCUCUCACCCUAAUCUAAUAAGGUUUUGAUAUCUGGAGCUCAUAGGUGGGAGAUAGAUAAUACAUAAUUACAAGACAUUUAUUGCAUAGUCAAACCAUGGAUCCAGAGAAACAAGUCAAUAAGUCAAAUCAAGAUGUGCAUGUGUGGCGAGUGAAUGGUGUAUGGUGAUGAUGGUGAUAACAAUAGUGAAAACAAUGGUGAAAGUCUAAUUCUACUUUUGCUCUUUUGAGGGGAUACAUACCUUUCUUGCUCUUUUGAAACUUUUUGAGGAGAAUAAGAUGCUCUACAUUUUCUUUUUCUUUCCUCUCAGGUGGGUAUCUUGUACACCUAAUUCUACUGUCGGACACUUGUCCAUUUUUACCUCUUGUCUCACUUUUUCUUUUCUUUCGAGGUUCCGGGCACUUGCCCCUUUUUACUUCCUCGUAUCCUUUCUCUUUCUUUUUUUUCUUUUUUUAGAGCACUCAUCUCCUGGAAUAAUAUAGCAAGUGGUAGUAACCAAGAUAACUCGAGCAUUUAUUUCACAUGGAAAAACAGAAAUAGGAGAAUGAUUUUAGCUAUUCUCUCCUGGAUUAGGAGUAGAAUACUUUUGGGUGAAUCUGGAGAUGGAAAUGAGUGGAUGUAUGUGGAUGCGUACUUCCGAAGUAGAAGUAGCAUGUGUGAGUGAACGUGCAAGUGGAUCUUGAUUUUAACCGCAUGACAAGCUCCCAAGGGUCUACACAGCUUGACCACACUCAAUGCUCAUAAGUAGUAAAAAGUAAAUAUGUGGCUCAAAGUCUAGCAAGCAUCUAUGUAUGGCUGUGGUAGGAAUUUAAACUCUCAUCAUACAGGAACUCAUCAUAUAUUAUUUUAAGGAUUUUCAAAGAUAAAAUUCUCCAGAAUUCUAGCAUCUCUAGAAACAGAUAAACAGCAGCUCAACCUUCCCAUAUCAUAUCCGUUAACGACUUAGACUUCCGAUCAAGUACUCUUCCCACAAGUUCAGGUUUAGAGCAGGUUUAAAUUAUAACAAUUAUGCCUAAACUUGAGAGAGAGCUCAAACUUAAAAACUAGGUACAUGGCAGAGCAACUAUUUAUCAUAUCCAUGUAAGAGUUUAUUAUUUAAGUUCAGUUUGGCCUAGACACUUUAUUUAUUUAUUUAGCAAACUAAGCAAAGAUAUAUAUAAGUACAACAUUUUUAUUUGGGUUUUCAUGAUUAUGCAUCUUUUUAUUAUUUGAGUAAAAUAUAAACGCGAGUAGAAACGCUUAGCUGGAUAAAUGGGGGUGCUCUCCACCAAGCUAGAUUUUGACGUAAUUUCUUCUGAUGUAGCUAGCAGGUGACAGGAGGUGUAUUCGAAUGUCGGCAGCACCCUGACAGCGAUUAUUAUGUCCUCCACCGACUAGUCUUCUUUGAUCCUUGAAUUAUGUGGAACUCAAAUAGACAACAAAGCUUUGUGGAACUGGUUAAGUGUUAGCAUAAAAUCUCUUAGCCUUUAUCAUAUUGAGAUUCCUCCUAAUAAAUUUUAUUUAGCAGGAUCAUGCACUUAUUAUUUGUAUAUUUUUAUUGUGAGAUGAAAACAUAUUUAUUUUAUGCCACCACAGUGAAUAUACCUAUGGGUUUUAAACCACAAGUCUACUCACAUGGGGCUUUAGAUUUUAUGAUGUAGUGCAACGAAUAAUUAUUUUUGUUUUCUUUUCUAAUUCUAAUGUGGAAAAGUAAAUAUGCUAAUGCAAGUGAUGGAAUAAAAAGAAAAGGAAUGCAGAAAAGAUAAAUAAUUUUACCUCCGGCAAGGAUACAAUGUUUUAAGUCUUCUGGACAAGACUUCUCACCGUGUUCAUCCUUUAGGUGCAUCAUUUGAUUAGGUGUGGGCCUUGACAUCUGCGCCUCUUGAUACGGUGUCACCCAUGUUCUUCGUUUGUCUAGCAGUUCGAGGUGCGGCAUUGGAAGUAUCUUGCUCAGUGUGUUUGUGCUCGUAGAUCCACGUCCUUCACUUGGUAGAGUCUGGGAGUUGUAAAACUCCUUCAGGUUUUGCUCAAAGUGUACCUACUCAUAGAGACAAGGC
RNAcentral lists this long non-coding RNA (3053 nucleotides) under Sorghum bicolor (sorghum). Its description in RNAcentral is "long non-coding RNA (SBIC_LNC015763)". Lineage: Eukaryota; Viridiplantae; Streptophyta; Magnoliopsida; Poales; Poaceae. The record is from RNAcentral.